This 1009-nucleotide long non-coding RNA is filed under the name Setaria italica (foxtail millet). RNAcentral describes it as "long non-coding RNA (SITA_LNC005683)". Lineage: Eukaryota; Viridiplantae; Streptophyta; Magnoliopsida; Poales; Poaceae. The record is from RNAcentral.
UAAUGAUGAAUCAUUUGGGUCGAGUGCUAAACAAAGACUGAGAGAUCGAGAAAUAUUUUUUUUGCUUACCUUGGGAUGCAGUCAACUGCUACAUAGACAUCUUUUACUUGCAAUGUCACUGAUCUAUCAUCCUGCUUUAACAUCAGGUUCCCUUCCCAAUCUAGGCUUCCACUACUGUCACCUGUGCCAGCCUCCUGAACAAGCAUUGCUUCCACCAUUUCUCCAGCAAGGUAAAGAAAGACUCCAACUUUUGUGACUUAAUUGGUGUCUUGUUGUGAUCACUGACUGUACCUGAUGGAUAUGGCCUCGAAUUUUUAAUCUUGAUUAUGGUUUCAGUUUCAGUUUUUCAGAUUGUAAUGGGAUCUAGAUUCUAGAGACUCUAUUCAGUUGCAAUUAUUAAGCCAUUUGCAUUUUGGAAACCUUCAGUUUAUUUCCAACUCUUGACUAACAGCUGACAAUUAGGACUUCACAUUCAUUACUUAAUUUAUUUCUGUGUGCAAUUAUUCUCUGCACCCUAGAGCUUGCUGUUGACAAAGGAAAUAGCAGUCACGGCCAUUGCCAAUCUCUAGUUGUUGCCUGAUUGGCUUAUUGCUUUCUUUUCAAACUCUUUGUGUAUCAAAAUCUCUCGUUAAGUUUGAUGAUGGUUCCAUAUGUCUUAUGGAUAUUACAAUGUAUGCAUCAGUCAGCUUAAUCAUUUUCUUUUUGGCAGGGGAUAGAAUAAUGAUGCAUGAUGGCCAGAAGUAUGAUAUUUUGUAGAAUUGAUUGCUGGUUCCUGCUACUGCUGCUAUCAAUCUUGUACAAAGCAUUUUGAAAAAUGCAUUUGAUGCAAUUUUGUGCUUCCUAAUUUUGUCCGUCUGUAAAUUUAACCAUUUCUGGGACAAAAAUAUGGGCUGCUGAUUGGGCCACAUGUGCCAUGUAAAUUAGUCUCGGCCCAGAAUGGGAUAGUAUGUACAUAUGAAUUUUGCUUGAAAUUGCCUCGGAAUUACAGUGCUUAUUACAUAAGAUUGGC